This is a non-coding RNA of Phoenix dactylifera (date palm), 897 nucleotides long. Lineage: Eukaryota; Viridiplantae; Streptophyta; Magnoliopsida; Arecales; Arecaceae. The record is from RefSeq and is a predicted model, not a curated record.
UUGACCUGUGCUCCAAGAAGGUAGUAGUCUACUGCCCCACACACAGAAAGGAAGAAUUUUGGGGGUAAGAAAUCCACCAUGAUCUGAUCUCUUUGGUAAAGGGAGGCUCAUGGAACCCUUUCAGGUCGGCUUGAUAGAGAUUCUCUGUGUAUCGAAUUCGACUGCGAGCAAAUUUCAGCCUAGCUAUUCUAUUAAGUUCUUUAUAGGCUGCUCAGAUGAGGAUGGUCGUCAUUUUGUGUAGGUUGAUCUAUCUGAGGUUAUGCAUUGGCUUGAUCCUUGUUGUCCGCCGAAAGUAGGUUCUGCACCACUGUAGAUAAGUUCUGUAUUUGCUGAAAGAGCAAAUUGAACUACUCAUCUGAUAUAGCGACUGAAUGUUAUGGAGCCACUAGUGCAGAAAGAGGAUCCAAGCCGUGAGAAUUAGAAAAUUUCGCUCGAUUGUUCCAUGCAACUUGCCUGCUACUAUCAGUCCAUUGUUCCUUCUAGACUUCAUCUUUUCUAAUCUCGCUCUUUUAUUUUUCUGAGACAGCACCAAUAUAUUGUCGCCAAAAUCUAAUCUGGUGGUCAGAAGGCUCCUGACUGGUCCACUGUACACAAGAAGGAAGAAAAGCUCGAAUGUUGCCGAAACUAAUUCGGCCGAAGGCCCUCUAAAAUUCAAGUCAGAAAGGACUCUGGAGAACUGUUCGAGGGGAGAGCAAAAUGGUCAGAAAAUAAAAGCAAAAUAUGUCCUCCUAUGCAUAUCUAGCAUUUGGGCCUUCUUUUAUAGAUAGAAAGUCCUUUGUUCCACUAGAUUCAAACUCUACGUACAGUCCAUGGCUGAGUGAGAAGCUAUCUGAGUUUUUCUUAUAUGGAUCAGCUCACAAAUUUGAGCCCAGGGGAAAUUGAAUCCCUAUUAUACUA